Long non-coding RNA from Chinchilla lanigera (long-tailed chinchilla), 1838 nucleotides. NCBI's taxonomy places the organism in Eukaryota, Metazoa, Chordata, Mammalia, Rodentia, Chinchillidae. The record is from Ensembl.
CUAGUAUAGAGAAAGUCUGCUUUCUAAAUUUUGUUUCCCUGUUUCCUGGAAACAUUACACUGUGUUCUUACUUUUCACUUGGACUGCUCUUUCUUAUGUUUUUUUCCAUGUAAUAUCCACACGCGGCUCUCAUAUGACUCCACUCCUUCUUCUCAUUUUUAAACUACGAGCAUUCAUCCAGGCCUGCUGUUCACCUGAGUCUGGGGUAGGACUAGGCUGGAGGAGAGAGUUUCAGACGCAGGGCCCCAGAAGAAGGCACUCCGCACAGAGAUCUGAGAACGGUCACAGACAGAGCCCAAUCCACUGGGGUCAGGCGACUCGCGCACUGGUGUUACGGCCUCCUUCUCGCUCGACGGAUGUUAGUAAGCUGCGCCCAGCUCUGCGGGGGGCUGGGGAGCCAAACCGGACGGAGCAGAAUGUGCAGUGGAUUUGAGGGAGGAGGGUGAAGGAGGGGCGUUCCGAGGGCCGUGAGACACGGCGCGGACUGCGCAGCACCGUUACAGGCCUGGGUGAGACAGCGGCUGCCCAGAGACCAGGGCAGAGCAGGGAGGCCAGGAGCGUCUGGAUGGAAGUAAACUUUGGGUGAGACGGUCAAGUACACAAGACUCAAAGGUACAAAAGUGAGAGAAAAUCUUGGAAAUAAAACUGUACAAGUUCCAAGAAGAGGUAUACCGAAACUCAGGAACCCGCCGCUGUCAGCAGCAGAGAAGAGCGGCGCCGGGAAAGCUUUGGAAGUCAUUUAUUAACCAAACUAUGAACUUGACGUAGGUAUUACUAAGAGGAAAGUUGCCUCCUAACGGUAUGGCUUAUCCUUAACCACCCUCCACUGGGUUGCACCAAUAUUUCGUCUCUGGAGGCUGCAGAGCUCAUGGUUUCCGUGAGAGGCUGCCCGGACCAGACCCUCCCGGAGGAGAGCCAGGGCGGUGGGGUCAUCGCGGAGAUACCUGCGCGGUCUUCCAGGAGAAAGAGGUGGGUGCGCUCCCCUGGGACCCUGAAGUCAUUACUUGUGCGGUGCUGCAGCCUGAAACCAGAGGGCUGCUCUGGAGCCGGUGCUCCGUCACUGGACAGUCCUAGCCUGGACCUUCACCUCUUACAACCUCGCUGCACGAGUAACGCUUGAGUCUGAGAUGCGGACUUCUCUUUCACAAUCUGUGUGUUCCCAGAGCUCGACCUUAAGGCUGACACAUGAUGAGAACUUCGCCUGCAUUUGACAAAUGAAUUAAUUAAGAAAGAAUGAGAAAGUAAGUAGGCUUUUUUAAGUUCCUUUUUUGAUUCAAAAGUCAUAGGACUUUAUAGCCAAGAAAUUUUUCUUUUGUGAGAAUAUAGUAGAAUUUGUACUUAAAGACAUGCGCUUCUAUUCCCUGCAUAUAAUAAGAUUCUGGUGAACUCAACGAGGUUUUGUUCUGUACAUGCUACCUUUAAGUCACGCUGGAAAAAUUAAGACAGAAAGAGCAAUUUUUUAAAAACAAAGUUUGUGGUGAUGUUAAUAAAGAUCAGACAACAAAGACACUCAAAUAGCAAUUCUCAACUAUUAUCCUUCAACUCCAAAUUCUACCUUCUAUUUCAUAACAUUAGGAAAUUUUGAAAGUGAAAGCCACUAUGAAUAUUGAUUUCUUUUGGGUAAAAAAUUUUAAUUGAUAAAAUUCUGCGAAGAUUUUAUUCACUCACUGCAAGGUAGCACAUAUAUACUCCACAAAUUUAUUUUCAAUUUUAAGAAUGAUUCCUGUAGUAAAGGCACCAUUUUGAUAACAAAACUAAAAUAAAAGUGACACUCAUUACACUGUGUAGAAAAAUGUAAUUUUCAUUUUGUUCCCUUGCAAAAUUUUGAAGCAAUAAAU